UAUAGGGAAAUCAGAGGAGGGGAAGGUACUAAAAUAUGGUCAGCUAAAUAAGGUCUAAUAUCAGGCGGAAGUGGCGAAAAGAACAUAUAUCUGGUGCUGUUAAAAAUCCUAAUGUCUUAGACAUGUACUUGUUUGGAUAGUCAUACAGUUUCAGUUCUGCUGAUUUAUAAUGAAUGUUAUGCGGUCUACGGAGUGAAAGAAAAAGGAAGAACCUACCGGUGAUGAUCCACAAAUUCACCUGGGAAGAACCUGCCGGUGCUUUUGAAUGCUGAUGAUGACCCACAUAUAUUUUACUUCGUUUUUCCCUUUUAUUUUUUCCUGAUAUUAUGAUCUUGGUACAUAUAACAGGGAGUUCUGUAUGCCUGAAAGGAAUGGUAUCAGAUCUUAAUAAAGUAAUUUCUAUGCCAGUUCUUAGUA
Molecule: non-coding RNA, 417 nt
Organism: Phoenix dactylifera (date palm)
Lineage: Eukaryota; Viridiplantae; Streptophyta; Magnoliopsida; Arecales; Arecaceae
Source: RefSeq, a predicted model, not a curated record